AGUGAACGCUGGCGGUAGGCCUAACACAUGCAAGUCGAACGGCAGCACAGUAAGAGCUUGCUCUUACGGGUGGCGAGUGGCGGACGGGUGAGGAAUACAUCGGAAUCUACUUUUUCGUGGGGGAUAACGUAGGGAAACUUACGCUAAUACCGCAUACGACCUACGGGUGAAAGCAGGGGAUCUUCGGACCUUGCGCGAUUGAAUGAGCCGAUGUCGGAUUAGCUAGUUGGCGGGGUAAAGGCCCACCAAGGCGACGAUCCGUAGCUGGUCUGAGAGGAUGAUCAGCCACACUGGAAGUGAGACACGGUCCAGACUCCUACGGGAGGCAGCAGUGGGGAAUAUUGGACAAAGGGCGCAAGCCUGAUCCAGCCAUACCGCGUGGGUGAAGAAGGCCUUCGGGUUGUAAAGCCCUUUUGUUGGGAAAGAAAAGCAGCAGGUUAAUACCCCGCUGUUCUGACGGUACCCAAAGAAUAAGCACCGGCUAACUUCGUG
This 492-nucleotide ribosomal RNA is filed under the name uncultured bacterium. RNAcentral's name for it is "partial 16S ribosomal RNA". It matches the Rfam family "Bacterial small subunit ribosomal RNA", at positions 29 to 507 of the family's 1533-position model. The record is from RNAcentral.